UACAGAGGAGCCAAGCGUUGGCCGGAUUGACUGGGCGUAAAGCGCACGCAGGCGGUGGGGCGCGUGGGGUGUGAAAUCUGGCCGCUUAACGGCCAGGCGCCAUCCCAUACGGCACGACUGGAGGGCUGCAGAGGUCGAUGGAAUUGCCGGUGUAGUGGUGAAAUGCGUAGAGAUCGGCAGGACCACCCAGGGGGAAACCAGUCGACUGGGCAGCACCUGACGCUGAGGUGCGAGAGCGUGGGGAGCGAACCGG
RNAcentral lists this ribosomal RNA (253 nucleotides) under uncultured bacterium. RNAcentral's name for it is "partial 16S ribosomal RNA". It matches the Rfam family "Bacterial small subunit ribosomal RNA", at positions 524 to 776 of the family's 1533-position model. The record is from RNAcentral.